Long non-coding RNA from Oncorhynchus gorbuscha (pink salmon), 2414 nucleotides. RefSeq lists it as uncharacterized. NCBI's taxonomy places the organism in Eukaryota, Metazoa, Chordata, Actinopteri, Salmoniformes, Salmonidae. The transcript is spliced from 3 exons. The record is from RefSeq and is a predicted model, not a curated record.
CUGAUAGAAUCGGGAAGUUUCGAUUUCUGCUCAUAGGGAAUUACAAACUCCGGCAAUCAUAGCGAAUGCAGAUACCACCCGGUAAGGUAGAUGGGGCAUUCCCACAAACUUGGACGACGGUGGUGUGUACUUCGAAAGAACACACAGCAAUCUCAGAAGUUCUGUAAACAAUAUUUUUUUGGACAAUGUUUUUAUGCCAGUGUGGUGUUCUGUGCCUGGCUCUGCUAAUUACAAACAAGUGUGAAAAUGAGUAUGAAUCAUCUAUGGUUUGUUCUCAGCCAAUUUAGUGAUGCUAGUUAGCUAACCGCAAGCAGACAAUAUUAAAAAUGUCCAUGUUAGGUAUGGUAACCUAGCCAGCUAGUAAUAGAUAUCAAUGCAAUUCGUGGGGUGGAUAAAUGUAGUAUUGUUGUUUAUUUUAUUGUAGGUGGUACAGAAUCUGAUUCCACCAACAGGCGCUUCCAAUCCCUAGCUCUGCACAAAGUGAAGGUUAUCUGGAGUCAGUCCACAGUGGCCUGCUGAAAAAUAACCCAAAGUGGCGCCAUUUUGGGAACACAAACAUGAGGGAGUGCAUGCACCUUGCGGUUAUGGAGCACAGCAAGAUAGUGGGAUAGAAACCAGCAAGGGCCCCUGAAAGGAGACGUACAGUACCUGCAAAUCUUCUGCAAGAGGACCAAACAGUUGGGGGUUAAGAAGCCCUACACCACUUUCGUCAUUCUUAUCCAGCUGGCUGUUCACCGCAGACCGGACGAGACGUAAGCAUAAAGAGUCUCAGCUUCCCCAUCCCACCAUGCUGAACACCAUUGCCAGUGUACCGAAGCUGGAUAAAGAACUAUGGCUGCGUUUACACAGGCAGCCCAAUUCUGUUAUAUUUUCACUAAUUGGUGUUUUGACCAAUCAGAUAUUUUUCAGAACUGAUCUGAUGUGGUUAAGACCAAUUAGUGGGAAAAAUAUUAGAAUUGGGCUACCUUUGUAAACGCAGCUGGUGUGGCUCAGCUGAAGACCAUGUAGAACAGGGGUCUCUAACCCUCUUCCUGGAGAGCUACCCACUUGUAGGUUUUUGCUCCAACCCCAGUAACUAACCUGGCUCAUCUUAUCAACCAGCUAGAAUCGGGUAUGCUAGAUUAGGGUUGGAGUGAAAACCUACAGGACCAUAGCUCUCCAGGUACAUGGUUGGAGAUCCCUGAUGUAGAACCACCAUAAAAUAAAUAUGGAUAUUUUCUAUCAAUCUUAUACAUUUGUCUGCAUUUAUGGAGUCACAGAAUAUAUGUAUAUUAGCAUUCAAGGACUCUGUAGCAACAAACAGAUGAUAGACCUUCAGAUAUCCAAAUAAUGUUUAUUUGUCUAAAUCUAAGCAGGGGAGUGUAUACUAUUUCAUGUUAACUCAAGAUAACUGGUUAGUCAACAAGAAUGUUGUGCUAAAAUGUUUUUUUAUUUUUAUUAACUGUAGUACAGUUCCGUGUGUCCGAGUGUGUCUCAGGUGUAGAGACAGUGCAGUGCAGAAAACAGUAGCUAUAGAUUGGUACACCAGAUAAUGUGAUUUACUCAAAGAUUAUUGCCAAAAUCUUGUCUAUUUCAAGUCUUCUCUCAUUGAUCGAGACAAGUGGGUGUCCACCCAAAAGUGUUGCAUGUCAUAAUGACAAAGACCUGUCUCGAUCAAUGAGAGAAGACUUGAAAUAGACAAGAUGGCAGCGUACACAUUGUUGGAUUACUUCAUGGAGCAAAAUUAAGUAUUUAUUUUAAUAACGUAACAGUUUCUCAAUUUAAAUCGAGGACGAAGAUGGCAUUGCUAACACCAUGCCCUUUGCGGACAAGCGCACGCGUCCGCAAAUUGAUUUUGUCCCCCCAACAACGAACGCGAUCGCGACACGCAGGUUGAAAUAUCAAAACAAACUCUGAACCAUUUAUAUUAAUUUGGGAACAUGUCUAAAAGCAUUAAACAUUUAUGGCAAUUUAGCUAGCUUGCAGUUGCUAGCUAAUUUGUCCUGGGAUAUACACAUUGAGUUGUUAUUUUACCUGAAAUGCACAAGGACCUCUACUCUGAAAAUUAAUCCACACAUAAAACAGUCAACCAAAUCGUUUCUAGUCAUCUCUCCUCCUUCCGGGUCUUUUCUUCUUUGGACUUUAUAUGGCGAUUGGAAAUUACUUUCAUAAGGUGUAUUACCACCACCGACCUCCGUUCAUCUUUCAAUCGCCCACGUGGGUAUAACCAAUGAGGAGAUGGCACGUGGGCAAAUGCUUCUAAAAGCCCAUGAGGAGCAGGAGAGGCAGGACUGAAGCACGUCCUGUGCCACAAAUAGAAGCAACACAGACUCUAGUUGGUGCGCGCGAGCAGUGUGGGUGCAAUGAUUGAAUAAAAUGUAAAGUCGGAAGUUUACAUACACCUUAGCCAAAUACAUUUAAACACAGUUUUUUCA